UGGGGAAUAUUGCACAAUGGGCGAAAGCCUGAUGCAGCGACGCCGCGUGAGGGAUGACGGCCUUCGGGUUGUAAACCUCUUUCAGCAGGGACGAAGCGCAAGUGACGGUACCUGCAGAAGAAGCACCGGCUAACUACGUGCCAGCAGCCGCGGUAAUACGUAGGGUGCAAGCGUUGUCCGGAAUUACCGGGCGUAAAGAGUUCGUAGGCGGUUUGUCGCGUCGUUUGUGAAAACCAGCAGCUCAACUGCUGGCUUGCAGGCGAUACGGGCAGACUUGAGUACUGCAGGGGAGACUGGAAUUCCUGGUGUAGCGGUGAAAUGCGCAGAUAUCAGGAGGAACACCGGUGGCGAAGGCGGGUCUCUGGGCAGUAACUGACGCUGAGGAACGAAAGCGUGGGUAGCGAACAGG
RNAcentral lists this ribosomal RNA (409 nucleotides) under Brucella melitensis. Its description in RNAcentral is "partial 16S ribosomal RNA". It matches the Rfam family "Bacterial small subunit ribosomal RNA", at positions 355 to 776 of the family's 1533-position model. RNAcentral also lists the same sequence under 2 other names. Lineage: Bacteria; Pseudomonadati; Pseudomonadota; Alphaproteobacteria; Hyphomicrobiales; Brucellaceae. The record is from RNAcentral.